AGGUUAACCGAAAGGGAGCCGGAGCGAAAGCGAGCCUUAACAGGGCGACUUGAGUCCCGCGCCGCGGACGCGAAGCCGGGUGAGCUAUCCGUGGGCAGGCUGAAGCGGGGGUAAGACCCCGUGGAGGGCCGAACGCACGUCGGUUGAAAACGGCGGCGAUGACCUGCGGAUAGGGGUGAAAGGCCAAUCAAACCCGGAGAUAUCUCGUUCUCCCCGAAAUAGCUUUAGGGCUAGCGUCGCGCGUUCACCGCCGGAGGUAGAGCACCGGAUGGACGAGGGGGCUUCGCCGCCUACCGAAUCCAACCGAACUCCGAAUGCCGGCGGCCCAGAGCGCGGCAGUCAGAGCAUGUGGGCUAAGCUGUGUGCUCGAGAGGGAAACAGCCCGGACCGCCCGCUAAGGUCCCCAAGUUCCAGCCGAGUGGCAAAGGAUGUGCGUCCGCCCAGACAACCAGGAUGUUGGCUUAGAAGCAGCCAUCCAUUCAAAGAGUGCGUAACAGCUCACUGGUCGAGUGGACAUGCGCCGACAAUACACGGGGCUAAGCUGGACACCGAAGCGGCGGGAUUUUAAUUCAUUAGAAUCGGUAGGGGAGCUUCCCAUGGGCGGAGAAGCCGGAGGGCGACCGACGGUGGAGCGCAUGGGAGUGAGAAUGCUGGCAUGAGUAGCGAGAGACGAGAGAGUAACUCGUCCGCCGUGAACCCGAGGUUUCCUGGGCAAGGCUAAUCCUCCCAGGGUCAGUCGGGGGCUAAGGCGAGGCCGGUAGGCGUAGCCGACGCGCAGCAGGCAGACAUUCCUGCACCGCGCACGCGGCGCUACGACCGACGGGGCGACGGAUGGGGGUGGCUCGGCGGGGUUCUGGACGUCCCCGUGAUGGAGCGCGGCCCGCGGACCAGGGAAAUCCGGUCCGCAGAAGGGCGAGGCUCCGGACGAAGCGACUGAGCGAAGCGAGUGAGCCCGAGGUCCCUAGAAAAACCCCUAGGCAGGCGCGUGCGCGCCCGUACCGCAAACCGACACAGGUGGGUGGGUAGAACAUACCGAGGCGAUCGGGUCAACCAUGGUCAAGGAACUCGGCACAAUGGCCCCGUAACUUCGGGAGAAGGGGUGCCCGCGCGUACGUGAACCGGCUUGCCCGGGGAGCGGAGGCGGGCCGCAGUGGAGAGGCCCAAGCGACUGUUUACCAAAAACACAGGACUCUGCAGAAGCCGCAAGGCGACGUAUAGGGUCUGACGCCUGCCCGGUGCCGGAAGGUCACGCGGAGGAGUUAGCGCAUCGCGCGAAGCCCCGAAGCCAAGCCCCGGUAAACGGCGGCCGUAACUAUAACGGUCCUAAGGUAGCGAAAUUCCUUGUCGGGUAAGUUCCGACCUGCACGAAAGGCGCAACGACUUGGGCGCUGUCUCGACCAUGGACCCGGUGAAAUUGCACUGGUCGUGAAGAUGCGACUUACCCGCGGAAGGACGGAAAGACCCCGUGAACCUUCACUGCAGCUUGGCAUUGGCCGCUGGUCCCGCGUGUAGAGGAUAGGCAGGAGGCAUCGAUCCGGAGGCGCCAGCCCCCGGGGAGCCGCCCUUGGAAUACUGCCCUCGCGCGACCGGCGUCCUAACCCGAGGCCGUCAACCGGCUCGGGGACCGUGCCAGGCGGGCAGUUUGACUGGGGCGGUCGCCUCCUAAAGGGUAACGGAGGCGCGCGAAGGUCCGCUCGGGACGGUCGGCAACCGUCCUUUUGAAUGCAAGAGUACAAGCGGGCUUGACUGCGAGGCCCACAAGCCGAGCAGGUGCGAAAGCAGGCUCUAGUGAUCCGGCGGCCCCGAGUGGGUGGGCCGUCGCUCAACGGAUAAAAGGUAC
RNAcentral lists this ribosomal RNA (1840 nucleotides) under human gut metagenome. RNAcentral describes it as "bacterial LSU rRNA". It matches the Rfam family "Bacterial large subunit ribosomal RNA", at positions 643 to 2466 of the family's 2925-position model. The record is from RNAcentral.